This 1488-nucleotide ribosomal RNA is filed under the name uncultured bacterium. RNAcentral's name for it is "bacterial SSU rRNA". It matches the Rfam family "Bacterial small subunit ribosomal RNA". The record is from RNAcentral.
AGAGUUUGAUCCUGGCUCAGAGUGAACGCUGGCGGCGUGCUUAACACAUGCAAGUCGAACGAGAACGGGUUAUAGCUUGCUAUAACUGUCAGCUAAGUGGCGCACGGGUGAGUAAUAUAUAGGUAAUGUGCCUUAGAGAAGAGAAUAAUUGUUGGAAACGACUUGUAAUGCUCUAUAUGCCCUUAAUACAAAAGUAUGCAGGGGAAAUAUUUAUAGCUCUAAGAUCGGCCUGUACGGUAUCAGCUUGUUGGUGAGGUAAUGGCUCACCAAGGCUAUGACGCCUAACUGGUUUGAGAGGAUGAUCAGUCACACUGGAACUGAGACACGGUCCAGACUCCUACGGGAGGCAGCAGUGGGGAAUAUUGCACAAUGGACGAAAGUCUGAUGCAGCAACGCCGCGUGGAGGAUGACACAUUUCGGUGCGUAAACUCCUUUUAUAUGAGAAGAAAAUGACGGUAUCAUAUGAAUAAGCGCCGGCUAACUCCGUGCCAGCAGCCGCGGUAAUACGGAGGGCGCAAGCGUUACUCGGAAUCACUGGGCGUAAAGAGCGUGUAGGCGGGUAUUUAAGUUGGAAGUGAAAUCCUAUGGCUCAACCAUAGAACUGCUUCCAAAACUGAAUACCUAGAAUAUGGGAGAGGUAGAUGGAAUUUCUGGUGUAGGGGUAAAAUCCGUAGAGAUCAGAAGGAAUACCGAUUGCGAAGGCGAUCUACUGGAACAUUAUUGACGCUGAGACGCGAAAGCGUGGGGAGCAAACAGGAUUAGAUACCCUGGUAGUCCACGCCCUAAACGAUGUACAUUAGUUGUUGCGAUGCUAGACAUUGCAGUAAUGCAGUUAACACAUUAAAUGUACCGCCUGGGGAGUACGGUCGCAAGAUUAAAACUCAAAGGAAUAGACGGGGACCCGCACAAGCGGUGGAGCAUGUGGUUUAAUUCGACGAUACGCGAAGAACCUUACCUGGCCUUGACAUAGAAAGAAUUUAGCAGAGAUGUAAAAGUGCUAGUUUACUAGAGCUUUCAUACAGGUGCUGCACGGCUGUCGUCAGCUCGUGUCGUGAGAUGUUAGGUUAAGUCCCGUAACGAGCGCAACCCCUAUCCUUAUUUGCCAGCACAUCAUGGUGGGAACUAUAAGGAGACUGCCGGUGAUAAACCGGAGGAAGGCGGGGACGACGUCAAGUCAUCAUGGCCCUUACGACCAGGGCUACACACGUGCUACAAUGGGAAGGACAAAGGGUUGCUAAGCCGCGAGGUGGUGCUAAUCUCAUAAACCUUUUCGUAGUCCGGAUCGGAGUCUGCAACUCGACUCCGUGAAGUCGGAAUCGCUAGUAAUCGUGGAUCAGAAUGCCACGGUGAAUACGUUCCCGGGUCUUGUACACACCGCCCGUCAUACCAUGGGAGUGGGUUGCACCAGAAGUAGCUAGUCUAACUGUUUACAGGGGACGGUUACCACGGUGUGAUUCAUGACUGGGGUAAAGUCGUAACAAGGUAACC